Tripterygium wilfordii is the source of this 1709-nucleotide long non-coding RNA. RefSeq lists it as uncharacterized. The transcript is spliced from 2 exons. NCBI's taxonomy places the organism in Eukaryota, Viridiplantae, Streptophyta, Magnoliopsida, Celastrales, Celastraceae. The record is from RefSeq and is a predicted model, not a curated record.
CUCUAUUGUCUUUUCGUAACAAGUGCGAGUCUUCUCUUCCCCCAAAGCGCAUCGUCUCAUCUCUUCGAGCUGACGUAGAGCGGAGCCCUAAUCACGAGCUCGUUCGAAUCUCUCUUUCAUUCGCUACUGAGCCUUAAUCUACACACUCCUCAAGCUUUAAUUUCAAGAUCGUCGAAUCACGAGAGAUGCAGAAAGAUGCGAGGGUCUCGCAGAUCGAACCAGGAACGCGCCAAGAUGAGCGCAUAUCGAAGGAGCACUUAAAAUCAAAGCAGAAAGUAAAAGGAAGUUCCGAGGUAUUACCUUGACCUUUAAAGUUAACUACUAUUUUUCCCAUCUCUUUUUAUGAUGCUUCUCUGAGCACAUGUAACAGUAGUUCUCAAAAUCAAAGCAAAAAGUCGAAGGAAAUCUGAGGUAUUAUCUUGAACUUCUUUAAAAAUUAACUAUUAGUAGCUGGGUGUUUUGUUAUUGUUCUUAUAGCUCAAUGCUUUAUUUUGAUCUAUUGAGUAUUUUCUGAGGAAAACCCUGACCAAGUAGUUGCUGUAAUUAUACUCCAGGACAUUUUUCAAAUUAUGAUAGUUAUUGUGCCAAGAGAUGAUGAGAUCGCUCAGUGUAUAGUGAUGGUAUGCUUUCUGGAAUAAUUUGAGGACUGGGAAGAUGCAAAAUAAUUUUCUUCGACUUUUCAUAUGAUGUUACUAAAAGUUUUCAAAAAAUCAGUUACAAUUUUCAUGGAUACAUGCAAUCACUGGUAUAAAUUUUCUAUGACCUUAUUUGCAAACAUUUUUUUCUGGAAAACCCAAUAGCCAUUAUUUAUGUUACGAAUUAAAAUCUGAGAUACUUAUUUUGAAAUAACAGGAAUAAUUCCUACUAUGUUUUCUUUUGUUGCUCCUUUCUUCCCGUGUUUGCUCUCGAGUGAAUUGCUAUAGCACUUAACCAUACAGUUAUACAGAAAAACUCCAUAGUUGUUCUUUCAUCUUAUGCAAACAUAUACCAGCUGAUAAAUCUAUGGACAUGGCCCUUUAUUGUUAGAAUUAGUGAUACUUAUCAUAAGAACCAACCUUUCCAAAACAUUUGAGGUCCAAGUUAUUUAGAAUACGAAGGCUUUCCUCGUUGGGGGUGUUAUGGAAGGUUCUUUUGUAGUUAACUGUCAUCUAGAGAUUGAAAUGUAAUUCCUCUGCAAUAUUUGAGUAACUUUUACAUUUUCCAGGUUGUCAUUGCUUUUAGGUUUAUAUAGCGUUUUGUUUUGUAUGAUAAACAUAUUCUGCAGUGUUAGGGUUUAGGAUUGAGUUUGGAGGUUGAUUCAUGACCAAUGUUACUAAAAAUUUGACAAUUAACAGAAUAGCUCCUUCUUGAUUAGAUAAAUUAAUUGCAUCUUGGUUGAUAUCUCUGGUUUUAGGGCCCUAUGUUCAGUAUAUUCCAGGGAAAAAAAAGGGUGGCCUAGAUUUUUGCUAUGUUGUCUAUUCGUCAUCCAUGCAUGUCUUUGAUGGAGUUUUGUUUCUUUUUUUAUUUCAUUUCGUCAUCUUUUUAAUUUUGUUAUUCAGCAAGGCUAUUUAUCUUAAAUGUAAUAAAGUGGUCUGGUCUAACUACUCUUAAGAGUGUGUAGAUAUUUUAAAGUGGCGGAAAGCCCAUUCUCUGUACUUUAAUUGAAGCCCAAUUUAGUAAGUUUUUGCCUUUUUGGCCCGUUUAAUUGGGCCGAAAGGCCAUAUAUUUUU